This 300-nucleotide ribosomal RNA is filed under the name Ektaphelenchus taiwanensis. RNAcentral describes it as "partial 28S ribosomal RNA". The stretch from base 203 to 300 matches the Rfam family "Eukaryotic large subunit ribosomal RNA", at positions 1 to 98 of the family's 3401-position model. Lineage: Eukaryota; Metazoa; Nematoda; Chromadorea; Rhabditida; Aphelenchoididae. The record is from RNAcentral.
CCGCAUAUAUAGUUGUGCGUUUUUUUCGAAUUAAAAUUCAAAUUCCAAAAUGACAGUUGGUUUUUGUGUUGAAAAGGAAAAGCGCAAAAAAAUUAAAGAUUAUAUAUGGAGUAAUUCGGUAUGCACUUUAUAGCUAUAAGAAAAAUUUUUUUUUUAUUGUUAUUUAAGCGCGGCUGUUUGGCAUUCUAAUCUAUGUAAUGAAGCCACCUGAAUAGUGCAUGACUACCUGCUGAACUUAAGCAUAUCAGUAAGCAGAGGAAAAGAAACAAACAUGGAUUUCCUUAGUAACGGCGAGUGAAA